CCCAGCUUGGUGUAGUGGUAGCACAUCAGUUCCUGGACCAUCAAUGUACAUACCUACCGCACAUGCGCGGAGGAUCUUGGUUCAGGGUUGGAAGGCCCGGGUUCGAUCCCUGGAGCUGGGA
This is a non-coding RNA of Pestalotiopsis sp. 9143b, 121 nucleotides long. Lineage: Eukaryota; Fungi; Ascomycota; Sordariomycetes; Amphisphaeriales; Sporocadaceae. The record is from the annotation of a GenBank genome assembly.